CCGAUGCCCUCCCUCAGGGGGCAGAAGUUUGUGCUCUCUCUGUCUCUCUCCCUCUCUCCUUUGCCACCCAGUGCCCACCCUCACUGCAGCCCUCUCCUAACCCCUCAAUCCCACACCCCACGCUGCCUCUAACCCACUCAGUGCCAUGGUGGGCAUCUAUCUGUAGGGAACUCCAGCUCCCUCCAGCCCCUAUGCCACCUGUCAUUUCCAAUCCUUUCUAGCAGCUCCCCUGAACCCUCUCUUUAAUAAGAUCUACCCUUUUUAAAAAUCAUAUUUUAAUUGUAAUUUUAAGUUUCAAAAUGUCCAUUCUCUUAACAAUCUUAACCAAUUCUCAUUGAAUGCCUUCUGCAUUGUGGUCACAAAAGGGGCUCUGGAACCAGACGUUGGGGUUAGAAUCCUGGAUUCGCCACUUACUGUGUGACUUUGGGCAAGUUAUUUAACCUCUCUGGGCCUCUAUUUUCUUGUCCACAAUAUAGGGAAGGUGAUAAUAGUAGCUGACUCUUAGGGUUGGUGUGAGAGAAUGAGUCACUGAAUUCGUGGCUGGAAGGCACGAACAGCGGUGCCCAGCAUGGAGCGAGUUCAGUAAUGUUAGAUGCCACCGUGUGGAGGCACCAGAGGGACCCAAUAAACACACACAGAGGGACAAGCAAACCCGCAGUACCGGGUCGCAAUGUCACGAUGGUGGAAAUGCAGGGUGAAGCUAUAAACACAGGGCAAAAUCCAUCAUAUCUGGUGAUUCAUACACAGAAGUACAGAGUGGAGCAACUUGAGACAUUACAGGCUGAAAAAUACACACUUGAAGUCCACAGCCCAUGACUGAAUCUGCUAGAUGAUGACUCGGUGGUUGCUGAGGAAUUUAAUCAUCUGGACCAUGUCCUUCCCUAGUUAAUUUUCAACCCAGAUGAUCAUAUCUCCUGUUCCGGGCAGACACAUUUCUGGCGCUAAGACCAGGGCCCCUAUUCAGCCUUAGUGGAUAAUUCAACCUCCUGAGAGGCACUGCAGAAGCACCUGGGCCAAGAUUGCUUUCCUCUUCUACGCCUAUCCCAGGAAUGUGGCCACUGCUCAAAAUGUGGGAAUUCCCUUCCAGAAUUCCCCUUGAAGCUGCUGCACGCUUCUUAGACCACGUCUGAGCAAUGCCUGCAUCACUAGAAUAUUUGGCCUCAGUUGGGUUUGUUUCUUUAAAAAAAAAAAAAAAAAAAAAAAAAAAAAAAAAAAGGUUUUUUCCUCAACUAAGACUUAAGACAAGGGGGUCUUAAUUUGAUUAUUUUUUUCUGUUUU
This 1278-nucleotide long non-coding RNA is filed under the name Homo sapiens (human). Its description in RNAcentral is "HSALNT0403850". Lineage: Eukaryota; Metazoa; Chordata; Mammalia; Primates; Hominidae. The record is from RNAcentral.